Molecule: ribosomal RNA, 414 nt
Filed under: uncultured microorganism
Description: bacterial SSU rRNA
Rfam family: Archaeal small subunit ribosomal RNA
Source: RNAcentral
CAGCCGCCGCGGUAAUACCGGCGGCCCGAGUGGUGGCCGCUAUUAUUGGGCCUAAAGCGUCCGUAGCCGGGUUGGGAAGUCCUCCGGGAAAUCUGGCCGCUUAACGGUCAGAAUGCCGGAGGAUACUCCCAGCCUAGGGAGCGGGAGAGGCCGAGGGUAUUCCCGGAGUAGGGGUGAAAUCCUAUAAUCCCGGGAGGACCACCUGUGGCGAAGGCGCUCGGCUGGAACGCGUCCGACGGUGAGGGACGAAGGCCAGGGGAGCAAACCGGAUUAGAUACCCGGGUAGUCCUGGCUGUAAACGAUGCGGACUUUGUGUCGGACAAGCUAUGAGCUUGUCCGGUGCCGGAGGGAAACCGUUAAGUCCGCCGCCUGGGGAGUACGGCCGCAAGGUUGAAACUUAAAGGAAUUGGCGGG